UCCCUGGAGGUCUAGUGGUUAGGCCACAGCGCUCUCACCGCUGUGGCCCAGGUUCAAUUCCCAGCUAGGGAA
RNAcentral lists this transfer RNA (72 nucleotides) under Pangasianodon hypophthalmus (striped catfish). It matches the Rfam family "tRNA". Rfam says of the family: Transfer RNA (tRNA) molecules are approximately 80 nucleotides in length. Their secondary structure includes four short double-helical elements and three loops (D, anti-codon, and T loops). Further hydrogen bonds mediate the characteristic L-shaped molecular structure. tRNAs have two regions of fundamental functional importance: the anti-codon, which is responsible for specific mRNA codon recognition, and the 3' end, to which the tRNAs corresponding amino acid is attached (by aminoacyl-tRNA synthetases). tRNAs cope with the degeneracy of the genetic code in two manners: having more than one tRNA (with a specific anti-codon) for a particular amino acid; and 'wobble' base-pairing, i.e. permitting non-standard base-pairing at the 3rd anti-codon position. Lineage: Eukaryota; Metazoa; Chordata; Actinopteri; Siluriformes; Pangasiidae. The record is from Rfam by way of RNAcentral.